RNAcentral lists this ribosomal RNA (749 nucleotides) under Raillietina saudiae. RNAcentral describes it as "SSU rRNA". It matches the Rfam family "Eukaryotic small subunit ribosomal RNA", at positions 151 to 749 of the family's 1831-position model. The record is from RNAcentral. Lineage: Eukaryota; Metazoa; Platyhelminthes; Cestoda; Cyclophyllidea; Davaineidae.
AACAACUCUAGAGCUAAUACAUGCCUCGAUGCCCUGACUCUGUUCUCCUAUAGUCAUCUGGCUGUAGUUGUAGGCAGGGGAAGGGUGCACUUAUUACAUCAGAAGCCAACCGGCUUGCGUGUCUAUUGGAGCACUUUUGGUGACUCUGGAUAAUUGUUACAGAUCGCAGUCGGUCUUGAGUCGGCCACGAGUCUUUCAAAUGUCUGCCCUAUCAACUUUCGACGGUAGGUGACAUGCCUACCGUGGUGAUCACGGGUAACGGGGAAUCAGGGUUCGAUUCCGGAGAGGGAGCCUGAGAAACGGCUACCACUUCCUAGGGAGGCAGCAGGCGCGCAAAUUACCCACUUCCAGCACGGAGAGGUGGUGACGAAAAAUACUGAUGCGGGACUCUUAAAUGAGGCCCCGUAAUCGGAAUGAGUGGACUAUAAAUCCUUUCACAAGGAUCAAUUGGAGGGCAAGUCUGGUGCCAGCAGCCGCGGUGACUCCAGCUCCUAUAGCGUAUAUAAAAGUUGCUGCAGUUAAAAAGCGCGUAGUUCGAUCUCGGUAGCAUUGUUGCCUGUCGAUAUUUGAGCGGAUAGUGUGUGUAUCGUGGCAUACUCUCGCUGUGUAUGCUCUCUCACUUGUCAAUAGUUCACCUGCCGAUUUGCCAGUGGUGGUGCAGUCUAUGCCACUAAAACACACUGUCGUGUGACCCUCGCUCGAUGUGCAAGCAUACGUCGGCCAAAACCCCAAGUUUAAGUAGCUGGAGA